ACUCCUACGGGAGGCAGCAGUGGGGAAUUUUGGACAAUGGGCGAAAGCCUGAUCCAGCAAUGCCGCGUGAGUGAAGAAGGCCUUCGGGUUGUAAAGCUCUUUUGUCAGGGAAGAAACGGUGAAAGCUAAUAUCUUUUGCUAAUGACGGUACCUGAAGAAUAAGCACCGGCUAACUACGUGCCAGCAGCCGCGGUAAUACGUAGGGUGCAAGCGUUAAUCGGAAUUACUGGGCGUAAAGCGUGCGCAGGCGGUUUUGUAAGUCUGAUGUGAAAUCCCCGGGCUCAACCUGGGAAUUGCAUUGGAGACUGCAAGGCUAGAAUCUGGCAGAGGGGGGUAGAAUUCCACGUGUAGCAGUGAAAUGCGUAGAUAUGUGGAGGAACACCGAUGGCGAAGGCAGCCCCCUGGGUCAAGAUUGACGCUCAUGCACGAAAGCGUGGGGAGCAAACAGGAUUAGAUACCCGGGUAGUCC
Molecule: ribosomal RNA, 469 nt
Filed under: uncultured organism
Description: partial 16S ribosomal RNA
Rfam family: Bacterial small subunit ribosomal RNA
Source: RNAcentral